GGGGAAUUUUCCGCAAUGGGCGAAAGCCUGACGGAGCAAUACCGCGUGAGGGAGGAAGGCUCUUGGGUUGUAAACCUCUUUUCUCAGGGAAGAAUAAUGACGGUAUCUGAGGAAUAAGCAUCGGCUAACUCUGUGCCAGCAGCCGCGGUAAUACAGAGGAUGCAAGCGUUAUCCGGAAUGAUUGGGCGUAAAGCGUCCGCAGGUGGUUUUAUAAGUCUGCUGUUAAAUCGUUAGGCUUAACCUAAUAAGGGCAGUGGAAACUAUAAGACUAGAGUAUGUUAGGGGCAGAGGGAAUUCCCAGUGUAGCGGUGAAAUGCGUAGAGAUUGGGAAGAACACCGGUGGCGAAAGCGCUCUGCUAAAACGUAACUGACACUCAUGGACGAAAGCUAGGGCAGCGAAUGGGAUUAGAUACCCCAG
RNAcentral lists this ribosomal RNA (418 nucleotides) under uncultured Rivulariaceae cyanobacterium. RNAcentral's name for it is "bacterial SSU rRNA". It matches the Rfam family "Bacterial small subunit ribosomal RNA", at positions 356 to 790 of the family's 1533-position model. Lineage: Bacteria; Bacillati; Cyanobacteriota; Cyanophyceae; Nostocales; Rivulariaceae. The record is from RNAcentral.